RNAcentral lists this ribosomal RNA (495 nucleotides) under uncultured bacterium. RNAcentral's name for it is "partial 16S ribosomal RNA". It matches the Rfam family "Bacterial small subunit ribosomal RNA", at positions 28 to 507 of the family's 1533-position model. The record is from RNAcentral.
GACGAACGCUGGCGGCGUGCCUAAUACAUGCAAGUAGAACGCUGAAGGAGGAGCUUGCUUCUCUGGAUGAGUUGCGAACGGGUGAGUAACGCGUAGGUAACCUGCCUGGUAGCGGGGGAUAACUAUUGGAAACGAUAGCUAAUACCGCAUAAGAGUAGAUGUUGCAUGACAUUUGCUUAAAAGGUGCAAUUGCAUCACUACCAGAUGGCCCUGCGUUGUAUUAGCUAGUUGGUGGGGUAACGGCUCACCAAGGCGACGAUACAUAGCCGACCUGAGAGGGUGAUCGGCCACACUGGGACUGAGACACGGCCCAGACUCCUACGGGAGGCAGCAGUAGGGAAUCUUCGGCAAUGGACGGAAGUCUGACCGAGCAACGCCGCGUGAGUGAAGAAGGUUGUCGGAUCGUAAAGCUCUGUUGUAAGAGAAGAACGAGUGUGAGAGUGGAAAGUGCACACUGUGACGGUAUCUUAACAGAAAGGGACGGCUAACUACGUG